GCAUUUUACCUACGAAUCAUCCAGACAAUAGAUAGUCACUGAAUCUUACUGAUAUUCUAAGUACUAGCGGAAUAAAUGUUGCACAUAUUUUCCUUUUAUCUCGUGAUUUAUUUGUUGGCUCAAAGUGUUACGACACUAAAUGAGUAUUUAUUAUGUGAGGAUUCUACUGGUCCUAAAUUGGAGUGUUGCCAGGAAUGUUCCAUUCAAAUUCGACAGGCGAAGUACGGGAGAACUAGUUCUAUAGUGUGUCCACACAUCUCCGUAUCCAAUUCUACAGAAUACAAUCAUACAUAUUCUGCACUCACUGAUGUGAAAACCGCUUGUGACGGAGUACAGUCAUGUCAGCCCGUAUCCUCGAACACAUACGGUGAUCCUCGUCAAGGUGUACAUAAAUACCUGAACGUUACUUAUGACUGUUUGAAAACAGCAACUACAACAGUAAAGACAACAGCUAACAUUGAUCUGACUACGCCUGUUACUGAUACAGACCUUUUGGCAUGUCGCUGUCCUUGUUCUCUAGUUGGAGCUAACAAAUGGGCAUAUUUGCGUGAUCUAAAUUUGUCUUUGGCACAAUUAGAGGAGAUAUUGAAACCUGAUCUAAAUAUAUUACAGAAACGUAUUGCGAUAAAUAAGAAAAAUACAACCCUGAAUUUACGUACCAAAUAUUCUGCAGCAGACGAUCGUAUUUCCGCCGUUUCCAUUGGAUACGUCGGAGCUACAAUAAUAUGUCUGGUUCUUGCUUUUUUUGUUAUCAUGGAUUUAAUAGAAUGUUUUCGCUGAAAUUGUUUCGUUAUAGAAAAGAUUAUGAAGAUGUUCGUCUAGUCGUAGUUUUUCGUAUUUCAACUACUUGUGAGUUUUGAUUGUGCCCUUUGUAUCGACUGCCUCUGGUUUCUUUUUCAAGAUUCAACGCUUAUCCAUUGUAUCUAUAAUGCUUAAAAAAUCUUCCGGUGUUCUCAGAGCAGAUGUGACAUUUAAAGGACAACAUUUAACAACUCUGUCACUUGCACCAAAUAAAGAGAUUCACAAAAUCAUCAAGAAUGUUCCAAUAAAGUCCUGUGAACUUGAUCGUAUUCCAAAUUACCUUUCUAAACCUUGUCUGGAUAGCUUACUUCCUUAGAUCACAAAAAUAAUCAACAAAUCGUUUGCUGAAUCAAAUUUUCCAUCAUCUUUCAGGAAAGUCAUAGUCCGACCAUCACUAAUUAAAGUCUGACUUAGACAAAGACACAUUUAAAUGCUACAGACCAGUCUCGAAGGUGUUAGAGAAUGUGAUAGGAGUGCGCUUUAGAAAUCACUUGAAUUUUAGUUCUCUUUAUGACGACAUACAGUCAGCCUACCAUGCUUGUCAUUCAUAGAAAACAGCUCCAAUAACAGUUCAUCACGACAUUGCGCUAGUACUUGAUAACAACUGUUGUGACUGUUAUUGACCAUCCGAUUCCGUCUUGAAUACUCCUACGGAAUAUUUGGUAAUGCCCUUUCAUGGAUUAAGUCCUACCUAAGCAGCAGAACUCAAAGUAUCUCUAUUAACUCAGUGCUAUCAGAUAUGCAGCUACAACCACCACGUAAACACACUACAACUUACGGGGAAAGACGAUUUGACAAAGCGGCUGCAACUCUCUUGAACAACCUGCACUAUAAUCUGCGGAACUAACAGAAGAUGGGAACUUUCAGGAAGAUUGCGAAUACUUACUUUAUAGACUUGCCUAUCAAGAUUUUAACAUUGUUUGCAUAUAAAAAUGUAUUUAUUUUAUCCCUUUAUAUUACAGUGUUAAGGCUAACUCAUUUAUGUAAUUUUUUGUGGCUUUUCACCCCUUUUUAUUUUAUUUUUUGUACCAUAUUUGAGUUUGCUAAUUUAUAUGAUUAUUUUUUUACUGUGUACAUCGCUUAGAGUAUUUUUUUUGGGAUAACGUUCUUAAUGGAUAUUGCAUAAUGAAAAAAUGAUAACCAUGAAACUUUAUUGAUUUUAUUUUUCACCAAUGAAACAAGAAUAUCCAAAUAUGGUUGUGAACAUGAGGUUUCAUAGGAAACUAAAUAAUUUGUAUGAUUUAAAAUAAGUAUCAAAAUUUACUGUCAAUAAUUAAAGUAUAUCGAUAAUUAGGUAGAUUGCCUAUUGCAUAUAUUCAGCAAAUUAUUAAAUAUUAGAGAGCAACUUUGAUGAAAUAUUUAAUCGAAGUUUUGAGAAGGUGUUCUUAAAUGUUAAGAUACAGAUAUUUGAUUAUGUUAAGUUGAGCCAGACUGUAGUUAUUGUGGGUCUUUUUCUUUUGCAAUUGAAAGAAAGAAUGUGUAUUGUAUUCAUUGCUGAAUUUAUAGUUCUGCAAAUUCAACUAGAAGUUAGUUUUAUAGAUAUAAGGAAAGUACUCAUAAUUUCCAAUUUUAUUAAGAUAGACUAGUUAGCUAUGUAUGAUUUGUUAUUUAGUGUGUGCGUUUUGUUGCCUAUUAUAUCGUUAUUAUUGAGUUAUGUGCCUUUCUUGUACUGGUUUUUAUUGAAUGUUCUCUUA
Molecule: long non-coding RNA, 2495 nt
Organism: Mytilus californianus (California mussel)
Lineage: Eukaryota; Metazoa; Mollusca; Bivalvia; Mytilida; Mytilidae
Exons: 3
Source: RefSeq, a predicted model, not a curated record